This 483-nucleotide ribosomal RNA is filed under the name uncultured bacterium. Its description in RNAcentral is "bacterial SSU rRNA". It matches the Rfam family "Bacterial small subunit ribosomal RNA", at positions 501 to 986 of the family's 1533-position model. The record is from RNAcentral.
CUACGUGCCAGCAGCCGCGGUAAUACGGAAGGUCCGGGCGUUAUCCGGAAUUAUUGGGUUUAAAGGGAGCGCAGGCGGGAGUGUAAGUCAGCUGUUAGAUAUCAGGGCCCAACUCUGUUAUGCAGUUGAAACUAUAUUUCUUGAGUACGCACAGGGAUGGCGGAAUUCAGGGUGUAGCGGUGAAAUGCUUAGAUAUCCUGAAGAACUCCGAUCGCGAAGGCAGCCAUCCGGAGCGUAACUGACGCUGAGGCUCGAAGGUGCGGGUAUCAAACAGGAUUAGAUACCCUGGUAGUCCGCACGGUAAACGAUGAAUACUCGCAGUUCGGUUAUUAUGGUCGAGCUGUCCAGCGAAAGCGUUAAGUAUUCCACCUGGGGAGUACGCCGGCAACGGUGAAACUCAAAGGAAUUGACGGGGGCCCGCACAAGCGGAGGAACAUGUGGUUUAAUUCGAUGAUACGCGAGGAACCUUACCCGGGCUUGAAC